AUGGAAGCAGAAUUAACUGCUCUGGACACAGCUACAGUUGAGGCAGAAUGGCUGCGUGAGCUCUUGAUGGACUUGCCGGUUGUUGAAAAACCUGUACCGGCUAUUCUUAUGAAUUGUGAUAACCAAACGGUUAUCGCUGAAGUGAACAAUUCUAAAGAUAAUCCAAAGUCAUCAAGACACGUGAAAAGACGUUUGAAGUCUGUCAGGAAGUUGAGAAACUCCGGAGUAAUAACUGUUACGUAUAUACAAACAGACAAAAACCUGGCAGAUCCCUUUACAAAGGGACUAUCACGAAAUGUGAUAGAUAUUGCAUCGAGGGAGAUGGGUAUGAGACCCAUAGCAGUCUUGAAAGAACACACCUAUAUGAGUUCUGACUGUAAACGUCGCAGUCUAUGA
Molecule: ribosomal RNA, 396 nt
Filed under: Triticum aestivum (bread wheat)
Lineage: Eukaryota; Viridiplantae; Streptophyta; Magnoliopsida; Poales; Poaceae
Description: partial small subunit ribosomal RNA
Source: RNAcentral